AUUGAACGCUGGCGGCAGGCCUAACACAUGCAAGUCGAGCGGUAGCACAGAGAGCUUGCUCUCGGGUGACGAGCGGCGGACGGGUGAGUAAUGUCUGGGAAACUGCCCGAUGGAGGGGGAUAACUACUGGAAACGGUAGCUAAUACCGCAUAACGUCGCAAGACCAAAGAGGGGGACCUUCGGGCCUCUUGCCAUCGGAUGUGCCCAGAUGGGAUUAGCUAGUAGGUGGGGUAACGGCUCACCUAGGCGACGAUCCCUAGCUGGUCUGAGAGGAUGACCAGCCACACUGGAACUGAGACACGGUCCAGACUCCUACGGGAGGCAGCAGUGGGGAAUAUUGCACAAUGGGCGCAAGCCUGAUGCGGCCAUGCCGCGUGUAUGAAGAAGGCCUUCGGGUUGUAAAGUACUUUCAGCGGGGAGGAAGGUGUUGAGGUUAAUAACCUCAGCAAUUGACGUUACCCGCAGAAGAAGCACCGGCUAACUCCGUGCCAGCCGCCGCGGUAA
RNAcentral lists this ribosomal RNA (504 nucleotides) under uncultured bacterium. RNAcentral's name for it is "partial 16S ribosomal RNA". It matches the Rfam family "Bacterial small subunit ribosomal RNA", at positions 30 to 523 of the family's 1533-position model. The record is from RNAcentral.